Long non-coding RNA from Alligator mississippiensis (American alligator), 970 nucleotides. RefSeq lists it as uncharacterized. The transcript has 3 exons. NCBI's taxonomy places the organism in Eukaryota, Metazoa, Chordata, Crocodylia, Alligatoridae. The record is from RefSeq and is a predicted model, not a curated record.
CCGCCGGAGGAGAUCCGCCAACCUAGAAGAGAAAACACGCUUACCUUUCCAUGUAGACAGAUGGAUAUUUACAACAUGGAAGAGAAUUAUGCUGAAGCUGUGGUUCACUGGACAACCUGGUAGGAGCCAAGAUAAGCUUUCCUCAGCUAAAGCCAGUAGAAAGGAAUUUACAUACCAAUGUCUGUCUGACAGUUUUAGGCUACCAAGGAUGGUGAGAUCUCCAGUGAGCUGACUGGUAAUAAAAAUAUAACAAUAUACAAUACGUGUAGCUCCUGUCACCCACCACAUGCAGUUGUUGGCCAACCUUUUGUUUUCUUCCUUUCAAUACUAUCAGAGGGUAUGUAGAGCUUGAUUUCUUUUUGAUCAUACUGUGCCUACACUUUUUCAGAUGCAAAUUGACUACCUGUAAUUUUGCAUUCUCAAGCAAUCUCAUGUAUAGCUUGUCACACUGUAUGUUUAUCUGAGUAUAUCUACGUACCAUUUAGUAAGACGUCUAGAUAUUGUCCAUUACACCCAUUUCUUACAUUCAGUAUUCAAAUGAUUCUUUGUGGGAGAGAAAAUUUCCUGUUCCUGAAGAAUUUACCUAGCUUGGGGGGUACAGUAUUUUCUUCCUGAACGUCUCAAAGUUAUUAUGAAUGAAAAAAUAUUUUACAUGGUUCCCAAGUGAGACAGGACAAGAGGCAAGAGACACCUCAGUGAAAUUCACUCUAAAGUGCUAACAGAAUUGCCAGGGUCAUAUGGAACCAUAAUCAUUAUUUUUGAGAACUUCUAGAGAAUGAUGGCCCCAGAGGAGUGGAAAAUGCUCAAUUACUAGCUUUAGGAAGAGGUAAAAAAAGAGAUGUGGGAUUUACACACUAGUAAAUUUAAUUUUAGCAGGAGAGUGAUAAAAUUAAUAUUUUAUUCAGUAUGUACAGAGAAGACAAUGUGAUCAUAAAUAUAAAGCCAUGUGGUCUUGUCAAACAUGUGCCAA